RNAcentral lists this unclassified non-coding RNA (337 nucleotides) under soil metagenome. RNAcentral describes it as "partial contains 5.8S ribosomal RNA, internal transcribed spacer 2, and large subunit ribosomal RNA". The stretch from base 1 to 120 matches the Rfam family "5.8S ribosomal RNA", at positions 35 to 154 of the family's 154-position model. The record is from RNAcentral.
GAUGAAGAACGUAGCGAAAUGCGAUAAGUAGUGUGAAUUGCAGAAUUCAGUGAAUCAUCGAAUCUUUGAACGCGCAUUGCGCCCCAUGGUAUUCCGUGGGGCAUGCCUGUUCGAGCGUCAUUUACCCCCUCAAGCUCCGCUUGGUAUUGGGCGUCUGUCCCGCUUCGCGCGCGGACUCGCCCCAAAGGUAUUGGCAGCGGUCGUGCCAGCUUCUCGCGCAGCACAUUGCGCUUCUCGAGGCACCGGUGGGCCCGCGUCCAUCAAGCUCACCCCCCCAGUUUGACCUCGGAUCAGGUAGGGAUACCCGCUGAACUUAAGCAUAUCAAUAAGCGGAGGA